Molecule: ribosomal RNA, 253 nt
Filed under: uncultured bacterium
Lineage: Bacteria
Description: partial 16S ribosomal RNA
Rfam family: Bacterial small subunit ribosomal RNA
Source: RNAcentral
UACAGAGGGUGCAAGCGUUAAUCGGAAUUACUGGGCGUAAAGCGCGCGUAGGUGGUUUGUUAAGUUGGAUGUGAAAUCCCCGGGCUCAACCUGGGAACUGCAUUCAAAACUGACAAGCUAGAGUAUGGUAGAGGGUGGUGGAAUUUCCUGUGUAGCGGUGAAAUGCGUAGAUAUAGGAAGGAACACCAGAGGCGAAGGCGACCACCUGGACUGAUACUGACACUGAGGUGCGAAAGCGUGGGGAGCAAACAGG